RNAcentral lists this ribosomal RNA (253 nucleotides) under uncultured bacterium. RNAcentral's name for it is "partial 16S ribosomal RNA". It matches the Rfam family "Bacterial small subunit ribosomal RNA", at positions 28 to 267 of the family's 1533-position model. The record is from RNAcentral.
GAUGAACGCUAGCGACAGGCUUAACACAUGCAAGGUCGAGGGGCAGCAUGAUUUGUAGCAAUACAGAUUGAUGGCGACCGGCGCACGGGUGAGUAACGCGUAUGCAACUUACCUAUCAGAGGGGGAUAGCCCGGCGAAAGUCGGGACUUAAUACCCCAGUAAAACCAGGGGUCCCGCAAUGGGAAUAUUUGUUAAAGAUUCAUCGCUGAUAGAUAGGCAUGCGUUCCAUUAGGCAGUUGGCGGGUAACGCCCA